Molecule: long non-coding RNA, 1943 nt
Filed under: Zostera marina
Lineage: Eukaryota; Viridiplantae; Streptophyta; Magnoliopsida; Alismatales; Zosteraceae
Description: long non-coding RNA (ZMAR_LNC004712)
Source: RNAcentral
UCUGAGUAUAAAUCCUUCGCAACAUCAAUCACAACGCGCUUCGACCAUUCUAUGACCUUCACCCAAUUCCAACAACUUCUGAUGGAUCAGGAGCUGCAGGAUGAACAUACAAACAAACGAUAGUUUCGAGGCAAACGCGAUCACCAGAACAAAGAAGAACGAAGAAAGGAGCACCAAUAUCAAAUCGUUACCGUGUCAAAUCUGCUCUCGCAAAGGACACGGUACGUUGAACUACUAUAACAGAUUCAAUUUCACAAGGUUCCCUCUGACGCAUAAUAGAAAGCUAAUUCCGGUCGGAAUUAAUUCCAGCCCACCGUCGGCGAAUGUUGUUUCAAUGUGGUACCCAGAUUCUGGGGUAACCACGCAUAUCACGACAAAUGGUAAGAUACUUAACUCUUCGGAAAAAUACAGGGGGGCGGAGAGAGUUAUGGCCGCAAAUAGGAAUCUCCGACUCAAGUAAAUGCACGUUGGUAUGCAAAGGGAAAGAGUUUCAGUUGGAGGACAUGUUAGUAGUCCCAGAAACGUCUAAGAACUUACUAUUUAUUCAUCAAUUGUGUACUGAUAAUCUUGUCUCUGUUGAAUUUGACAAACAGAGAGUAAGAAUCCGCGACCUCACAAUUAGAGAGGUGUUAGCCGAAGGUAGGCAGGAAGCCGGACUAUAUCAAUUACCGAUGAGAACGACGAGUCAUGUAGAAGCUCUAUCGAGCGAGAGGGUGUCGGCUGAACGAUGGCAUGCGAGGCUUGGGCAUCUCAACAAACAAACAAUGGAAAAAUUAGUUGAUAAAAAUAGAUUCUCAUCGGACUGUAAAAUAAUAUCAGAUUGCGACUCUUGCUUAAAAAAUUAAAUAAAUCAAGCUCAUUGCCUCACAGAACAAGCAAUAAAAUAUAUGACUCUCCGCUAGAUUUAAUUUAUACGGACAUCUGGGAAACAAGGUGGAGGUGGGACAAACGUUUUCAGCUCUGGGCAGAACGGUAGUGUGGGACGCAGAUCAAAGAAGUCCAAUCCGAUAACGCAAUGGAGUUUAAAAAACUCGCAAGAAAUCUGGAAAAAAUCUGAUGUUGGUUACCGAUUCUUAGCCCCCUACAACCACCAGCAAAUGGGGUCCGUCGAGAGGCGACACAUGCAUUUGGUAGAUACAGCUCUUACAAUGCUGCAACAUGCCGGAAUUCCAGUCGGUUAUUGGGACUAUGCAGUAUUAACAACGACACAUUUAUACAACCGGAACCCAUCGAGAAUCUUGAAUAACACAUCACCAUAUGAAGCUCGAUCUGUUCCAGCAAGCUCCGGAUUACAGAAAACUCCGGGUAUUUGGACCGCGAUGCUAUCCUUGUCUUCGCAGUUACCAACCGAACAAGCUUUCACAAAAAUCAGUCCCGUGCGUGUUCUUGGGAUACCUACAAAAUCAAGAUGCUUAUUUGUGCUAUGAUCUGGUCGGCCGGAAAAUGUACAGUUUAAGGGACGUUCGUUUCAACGAGGAGGACUUUACAUUGAAUAAAUACUUAGCUGAGGAGCAAGAAGCAAAUAUCACUCAAUCGCCAGCUGAGAGACGUGCGAUUUACUGUCCUAUCAUUCGAGAGAAAUUAAAAGAGGUAUCGGGUCACAGCAACAUCGGACCCUCCCAAUUGAUAAACAAAGAGGUAUCAGGUUCAGUCUGCCCGAACCAAUCAAACAAAGAGGUAUUGAAUUCAGCCUACCCGAUUCAAUCAAACCCUGACAUUGAAACUCAAUCGUAUUCGCCCAACUCAACUGAAGAAGAGGAAUCGGGUCAAACAAUCUCAGAUCCGGUAACAAUUUCCGAAAAUCCGAUAUCAACUUGUCGGAGAAGAACCCUAGCAACGAACAAGAAACACUCACCAGAAAUCGAUCAGCUACAAAAGCGUCAAAGGGAAUAAUAAAACCGAACACACGACACGUGUUGUCAGCAUCAACCAAUGGGAAAUUC